CCGACCUGGCCGGCGACCGAGUCGAAUCCCGGCUGCACGGCGAAGUCCUGGCUCAGCUUCUCCAGCGGGCGGUGGAUCCUCCCCGCGAUAACCCUGCACACGAGCAGCGCGUGCUUCGCGCCGACGCCGGAGGUUUCCUGCAGGCACUCCAGCGCGUGCCUGCUCGUGGAGGUGGUGAACACGCCGCCGCCGCUGUUCCUGGACUUCCUGGUCGCCGAGAAGCCGUGCCGGAUGAUGCGGCAGACGUUGCACAGGCUCGACGUGCAGACGCUGUGCGAGCCGCCGCUGCCGAGGGAGCAGGA
This 302-nucleotide unclassified non-coding RNA is filed under the name Zea mays. RNAcentral's name for it is "misc RNA Zm00001eb225350". Lineage: Eukaryota; Viridiplantae; Streptophyta; Magnoliopsida; Poales; Poaceae. The record is from RNAcentral.